GUAGCGGUGAAAUGCGUAGAUAUAUGGAGGAAUACCAGUGGCGAAGGCGGCCUCCUGGCUCGAUACUGACGCUGAGGUGCGAAAGCGUGGGGAUCAAACAGGAUUAGAUACCCUGGUAGUCCACGCCGUAAACGAUGUCUACUAGCCGUUGGGAGACUUGAUUUCUUAGUGGCGCAGCUAACGCAAUAAGUAGACCGCCUGGGGAGUACGGCCGCAAGGUUAAAACUCAAAUGAAUUGACGGGGGCCCGCACAAGCGGUGGAGCAUGUGGUUUAAUUCGAUGCAACGCGAAGAACCUUACCAGGUCUUGACAUCCUGCGAAUUUUCUAGAGAUAGAUUAGUGCCUUCGGGAACGCAGUGACAGGUGCUGCAUGGCUGUCGUCAGCUCGUGUCGUGAGAUGUUGGGUUAAGUCCCGUAACGAGCGCAACCCUUGUCCUUAGUUGCCAGCACAUAAUGGUGGGAACUCUAAGGAGACUGCCGGUGACAAACCGGAGGAAGGUGGGGACGACGUCAAGUCAUCAUGGCCCUUACGACCUGGGCUACACACGUGCUACAAUGGAACGCACAGAGGGCUGCAAAGGCGCGAGCUGGAGCGAAUCCCACAAAACGUUUCGUAGUCCGGAUUGGAGUCUGCAACUCGACUCCAUGAAGUCGGAAUCGCUAGUAAUCGUGAAUCAGAAUGUCACGGUGAAUACGUUCCCGGGCCUUGUACACACCGCCCGUCACACCAUGGGAGUGGGUUGCAAAAGAAGUGGGUAGACUAACCUUCGGGAGGUCGCUCACCACUUUGUGAUUCAUGACUGGGGUGAAGUCGUAACAAGGUAACCGUA
This 830-nucleotide ribosomal RNA is filed under the name uncultured bacterium. RNAcentral describes it as "bacterial SSU rRNA". It matches the Rfam family "Bacterial small subunit ribosomal RNA", at positions 675 to 1504 of the family's 1533-position model. The record is from RNAcentral.